GCAUGGGUGGUUCAGUGGUAGAAUUCUCGCCUCCCACGCAGGAGAGCCGGGUCCGAUUCCCUACCAAUGCA
RNAcentral lists this transfer RNA (71 nucleotides) under Danio rerio (zebrafish). It matches the Rfam family "tRNA". Rfam says of the family: Transfer RNA (tRNA) molecules are approximately 80 nucleotides in length. Lineage: Eukaryota; Metazoa; Chordata; Actinopteri; Cypriniformes; Danionidae. The record is from Rfam by way of RNAcentral.